This 254-nucleotide ribosomal RNA is filed under the name uncultured bacterium. RNAcentral describes it as "partial 16S ribosomal RNA". It matches the Rfam family "Bacterial small subunit ribosomal RNA", at positions 29 to 301 of the family's 1533-position model. The record is from RNAcentral.
AACGAACGCUGGCGGCAGGCCUAACACAUGCAAGUCGAGCGCGCCUUUCGGGGUGAGCGGCGGACGGGUUAGUAACGCGUGGGAAUAUGCCCUUUGGUACGGAAUAGCCUCUGGAAACGGAGAGUAAUACCGUAUGACGCCCGUUACGGGGGAAAGUAUUUAUCGACCGAAAGGAUUACGCCCGCGUUAGAUUAGGUAGUUGGGUGGGGUAAUGGCCUACCAAGCCUACGAUCUAUAGCUUGGUUUUAGAGGAU